AGAGUAGUAGUUCAGUUGGUUAGAACGUCUCCCUGUCACGGAGAAGGUCGCGGGUUCGAGUCCCGUCUAUUCUG
RNAcentral lists this transfer RNA (74 nucleotides) under Corchorus olitorius. It matches the Rfam family "tRNA". From Rfam's summary of the family: Transfer RNA (tRNA) molecules are approximately 80 nucleotides in length. Their secondary structure includes four short double-helical elements and three loops (D, anti-codon, and T loops). Lineage: Eukaryota; Viridiplantae; Streptophyta; Magnoliopsida; Malvales; Malvaceae. The record is from Rfam by way of RNAcentral.